GACGAACGCUGGCGGCGUGCUUAACACAUGCAAGUCGAACGGAAAGGCCCUGCUUUUGUGGGGUGCUCGAGUGGCGAACGGGUGAGUAACGCGUGAGUAACCUGCCCUUGACUUUGGGAUAACUUCAGGAAACUGGGGCUAAUACCGGAUAGGAGCUCCUGCUGCAUGGUGGGGGUUGGAAAGUUUCGGCGGUUGGGGAUGGACUCGCGGCUUAUCAGCUUGUUGGUGGGGUAGUGGCUUACCAAGGCUUUGACGGGUAGCCGGCCUGAGAGGGUGACCGGCCACAUUGGGACUGAGAUACGGCCCAGACUCCUACGGGAGGCAGCAGUGGGGAAUAUUGCACAAUGGGCGGAAGCCUGAUGCAGCAACGCCGCGUGCGGGAUGGCGGCCUUCGGGUUGUAAACCGCUUUCGCCUGUGACGAAGCGUGAGUGACGGUAAUGGGUAAAGAAGCACCGGCUAACUACGUG
Molecule: ribosomal RNA, 468 nt
Filed under: uncultured bacterium
Lineage: Bacteria
Description: partial 16S ribosomal RNA
Rfam family: Bacterial small subunit ribosomal RNA
Source: RNAcentral